RNAcentral lists this ribosomal RNA (429 nucleotides) under Pseudomonadota bacterium. Its description in RNAcentral is "Proteobacteria bacterium partial 16S ribosomal RNA". It matches the Rfam family "Bacterial small subunit ribosomal RNA", at positions 355 to 776 of the family's 1533-position model. Lineage: Bacteria; Pseudomonadati; Pseudomonadota. The record is from RNAcentral.
UGGGGAAUAUUGGACAAUGGGCGAAAGCCUGAUCCAGCCAUGCCGCGUGUGUGAAGAAGGUCUUCGGAUUGUAAAGCACUUUAAGUUGGGAGGAAGGGCAGUAAGCGAAUACCUUGCUGUUUUGACGUUACCGACAGAAUAAGCACCGGCUAACUCUGUGCCAGCAGCCGCGGUAAUACAGAGGGUGCGAGCGUUAAUCGGAUUUACUGGGCGUAAAGCGUGCGUAGGCGGCUAAUUGAGUCGGAUGUGAAAUCCCCGAGCUUAACUUGGGAAUUGCAGUCGAUACUGGUUAGCUAGAGUGUGGGAGAAGAUGGUAGAAUUCCAGGUGUAGCAGUGGAAUGCGUAGAGAUCUGGAGGAAUACCGAUGGCGAAGGCAGCCAUCUGGCCUAACACUGACGCUGAGGUACGAAAGCAUGGGGAGCAAACAGG